AGCAGCCGCGGUAAUUCCAGCUCCAAUAGCGUAUAUUAAAGUUGUUGCAGUUAAAAAGCUUGUAGUUGAAUUUCGGGGUCAGCAAGUUGGUCGUGCCACCGGUAUGCACUGGCUUUGCUGAUUCCUCCUUCUUGUAGAACCGUAAUGCCAUUAAUUUGGUGUUGCGGGGAAACAGGACUGUUACUUUGAAAAAAUUAGAGUGUUUAAAGCAGGCUAACGCUUGAAUACAUUAGCAUGGAAUAAUGAAAUAGGACGACGAUCCUAUUUUGUUGGUUUCUAGGAUUGACGUAAUGAUUAAUAGGGAUAGUUGGGGGCAUUAGUAUUCAAUUGUCAGAGGUGAAAUUCUUGGAUUUAUUGAAGACUAACUACUGCGAAAGCAUUUGCCAAGGAUGUUUUCAUUAAUCAAGAACGAAAGUUAGGGGAUCGAAGACGAUCAGAUACCGUCGUAGUCUUAACCAUAAACUAUGCCGACUAGGGAUCGGAUGAUGUUAAUUUUAUAAUGACUCAUU
Molecule: ribosomal RNA, 509 nt
Filed under: uncultured Glomus
Lineage: Eukaryota; Fungi; Glomeromycota; Glomeromycetes; Glomerales; Glomeraceae
Description: SSU rRNA
Rfam family: Eukaryotic small subunit ribosomal RNA
Source: RNAcentral